CCAAUAGCGUAUAUUAAAGUUGUUGCAGUUAAAAAGCUCGUAGUUGAAUUUCGGGAUCAGAGUGUCGGUCGUGCCUCGGUACGCACUGACAUUAUUGGUUCCUCCCUUCUGAAGAACCGAGAUGUCAUGAAUUUGGUGUCGCGGGGAAUCAGGACUGUUACUUUGAAAAAAUUAGAGUGUUGAGAGCAGACUUGCGCUUGAAUACAUUAGCAUAGAAUAAUGAAAUAGGACGUUUGAUUCUAUUUUGUUGGUUUCUAGGAUCGACGUAAUGAUUAAUAGGGAUAGUUGGGGGCAUUAGUAUUCAAUUGUCAGAGGUGAAAUUCUUGGAUUUAUUGAAGACUAACUACUGCGAAAGCAUUUGCCAAGGAUGUUUUCAUUAAUCAAGAACGAAAGUUAGGGGAUCGAAGACGAUCAGAUACCGUCGUAGUCUUAACCAUAAACUAUGCCGACUAGGGAUCGGACGAUGUUAAUUUUUUAAUGACUCAUUCGGCGCCUUACG
RNAcentral lists this ribosomal RNA (499 nucleotides) under uncultured Glomeromycotina. RNAcentral's name for it is "partial small subunit ribosomal RNA". It matches the Rfam family "Eukaryotic small subunit ribosomal RNA", at positions 591 to 1092 of the family's 1831-position model. Lineage: Eukaryota; Fungi; Glomeromycota. The record is from RNAcentral.